This 306-nucleotide long non-coding RNA is filed under the name Pan troglodytes (chimpanzee). RNAcentral describes it as "long non-coding RNA NONPTRT000288". Lineage: Eukaryota; Metazoa; Chordata; Mammalia; Primates; Hominidae. The record is from RNAcentral.
CAUUCCCCUACCGUUUAUAACCCCUGAGUCUGGGGGUAAUGGCACGGGGACCCAACAGCUUGUCUGCCGCCAUCUGGGAGAAACACAGAGGAGAGACCCAGAGAGGAGGAGAAGGCCGCAUGAAGAUGGAGCAGAGACUGGAGCUAUUCAGCCAAGUCAAGGAAUGCCUGGAGCCACCAGAAGCCGGAAGAGGCAAGGAAGGAUCCUCCCUUAGAGCAUUUGGAAGAGUGUGGCCCUGCCAACACCUUGAUUUCAAACUUCUGGCCUCCAUAACUAUGAAAUAAAUUCUUGUUGUUUUAAGCCACC